Molecule: long non-coding RNA, 507 nt
Filed under: Musa acuminata (dwarf banana)
Lineage: Eukaryota; Viridiplantae; Streptophyta; Magnoliopsida; Zingiberales; Musaceae
Description: long non-coding RNA (MACU_LNC002623)
Source: RNAcentral
CUGCCUCUACGGUACCAUGGCGCUGCCAUGCCUAUGGCCCUACUAUCCGUCGCCUCGCAUCUGCAUCCCUUUUCUUCACGAUCAGUAGAUAUGUCUCCGUGGCACUCCUCUGAGUCCACCUCCAUUCUAACUGAUGCUUGAUUUUGGGUAGCUAAGUCCCUCUGGACUCGUCGUCGCUUCCUCGCCUCUUUCGACCCCCUGCUUCAACACCUCUGUGUUCUCCAAGCAGUCUGUUUGGUCGAUGGAAAGACAGACUGCAACUCCCAUGCAUGGCCUCUGCCAUCACGUUGUAGGGUUUGCACCGAUUCUGUUCUCCUUAGCUUCCUUGGUAGCAACGUUCGCUUACUCGGCCUUGUCCUCUGACUUGCCGGGCUCCCUUAAGCGAAUAUGAGCUCUGGAGCAGUCCAACUCUCCAGCUGCUUCGAUCAUACCUCUGCAUGAUCAAGUUCCUCCCACGGAACUCACUGGUACUUGCAUUCAAACUUUUCCCUUAGUGGAACCCAGCCC